GACGGAGGGGGCGAGCGUUGUCCGGACUCACUGGGCGUAAAGGGUGCGCAGGCGGUUCUGUGCGUCGGCGCUGAAAGUGCCCGGCUCAACCGGGUGAGGCGCGCCGAUACGAUGGAACUUGAGGCUCGGAGAGGGUGGUGGAACUCCUGGUGUAGUGGUGAAAUGCGUAGAUAUUGGGAGGAACACCAGUGGCGAAGGCGGCUACCUGGACCGGUUCUGACGCUGAUGCGCGAAAGCGUGGGUAGCAAACAGG
Molecule: ribosomal RNA, 253 nt
Filed under: uncultured bacterium
Lineage: Bacteria
Description: partial 16S ribosomal RNA
Rfam family: Bacterial small subunit ribosomal RNA
Source: RNAcentral